AAAAUAUAAUAAUCCUAAAAGAAUACCAAAAGAAACAGGAUGUAAUAUUAAACAAUCACGAAUAAAUAGUACGAAAAAUAAUAAAAUGAUUGGAAGAAUCAAACGAAACUAAUAAAUUUCAUAACAAGAAAGGAUAGUGUAAAGAUAAUUAAAAUAAAAAAUUACUUUAAACAGAUUAACUAAAAAUAAAAGUAAUAGUCAUAGAAACAAGAAAACCAAAUGUAAAAUAAGAC
Molecule: long non-coding RNA, 233 nt
Filed under: Gossypium raimondii (Peruvian cotton)
Lineage: Eukaryota; Viridiplantae; Streptophyta; Magnoliopsida; Malvales; Malvaceae
Description: long non-coding RNA (GRAI_LNC002828)
Source: RNAcentral